Molecule: long non-coding RNA, 439 nt
Organism: Felis catus (domestic cat)
Lineage: Eukaryota; Metazoa; Chordata; Mammalia; Carnivora; Felidae
Exons: 2
Source: RefSeq, a predicted model, not a curated record
CGCGAUCUGGCCGCCGAUGGGCACGAUGAUGGUCAUGACCAGAUGGGGCAACGCUGACACCAGGCCCACCUGCACCAGCGAGCGCACAGAGCGAGGGCUCAGGGGCUGCUGGCCGGACAUCUCCACCCGGUUCUAGCCCCGCCCACUGUGCGUCCCCAUCCUGUCUCCUCUGAGAGUCUACAGCAACCCAACACGAUCUACACUCUACACUCCGUGCAGGUUCGAAGCCCCCUUUUCUCCUGCCUCCCUGCCUGGAUAUCUCUUCUUGCCCCACCGCUCCCCCGCCCCAUCAGGCUUGGGCCCGGACCGUGACCGGGUUCAUGAGUUUGGCGCUCUCGCCGAUGGCGUCCUCGAUGUACUUGCGCUCCUCUUCCGAAAUGCUGGGGUGCAGAGCCGGGGACUCGUAGGAGACGAGCAGCCAGAACAGGUACCAAAAGAU